RNAcentral lists this ribosomal RNA (568 nucleotides) under Kanekotrochus infuscatus. Its description in RNAcentral is "Cantharidus infuscatus partial 16S rRNA". It matches the Rfam family "Bacterial large subunit ribosomal RNA", at positions 1817 to 2597 of the family's 2925-position model. Lineage: Eukaryota; Metazoa; Mollusca; Gastropoda; Trochida; Trochidae. The record is from RNAcentral.
GUCUCCUUGAAUUACAAAAUAUUAUAGGGAGUCGGACCUGCCCGGUGACAGAGUGUUAAACGGCCGCGGUACCCUAACCGUGCAAAGGUAGCAUAAUCAUUUGCCUUUUAAUUGGAGGCUGGUAUGAAUGGUUUGACGAGAGCUGUGCUGUCUCUUUAAAAAUAGCUGUAAAUUAACUUUUAGGUGAAGAGGCCUAAAUUUGCUUAAGGGACAAGAAGACCCUGUUGAGCUUUAGUAAAAUUAUUGAACAUGUUAAAAUUUUUAGUUGUGCGUUAGAGCAUAAAUUUAGUUCAUAAAAAUAUCUUUAGUUGGGGCGACUAAGGAACAUAAAAAGCUUCCUUUAGUUUAUUUAGUUAAUUGCUUGGUUAAGUGAUAAAUUAAUAAAAAUGUUGGCAGAUUUAUUGAUCCAAGUUUUGUUGAUUAAAGGAAAAAGUUACCACAGGGAUAACAGCGUAAUCUUUUUGGAGAGAUCUUAUCGAAAAAAGGGUUUGCGACCUCGAUGUUGGACUAAGAUAUCCUAAGGGUGUAGAAGCUCUUGAUGGUUGGUCUGUUCGACCAUUAAAAUCUU